This 81-nucleotide small RNA is filed under the name Vicugna pacos (alpaca). RNAcentral describes it as "Y RNA (ENSVPAG00000016047.1)". Lineage: Eukaryota; Metazoa; Chordata; Mammalia; Artiodactyla; Camelidae. The record is from RNAcentral.
GAGUGCAGUGGGGUUUACAAUUAACUGAUCACGGCCAGUUACAGAUCGCUCUGUUCCUUCUCCACCCCCGCUGCUUCGCUU